Molecule: ribosomal RNA, 301 nt
Filed under: uncultured bacterium
Lineage: Bacteria
Description: partial 16S ribosomal RNA
Rfam family: Bacterial small subunit ribosomal RNA
Source: RNAcentral
CAGUAGCCGCGGUAAUACGAAGGGGGCUAGCGUUGCUCGGAAUUACUGGGCGUAAAGGGAGCGUAGGCGGACAUUUAAGUCAGGGGUGAAAUCCCAGAGCUCAACUCUGGAACUGCCUUUGAUACUGGGUGUCUUGAGUGUGAUAGAGGUAUGUGGAACUCCGAGUGUAGAGGUGAAAUUCGUAGAUAUUCGGAAGAACACCAGUGGCGAAGGCGACAUACUGGAUCAUUACUGACGCUGAGACGCGAAAGCGUGGGGAGCAAACAGGAUUAGAUACCCCCGUAGUCCCUGUCUCUUAUAU